GGCUCAAUGGUCUAGUCGUAUGAUUCUCGCUUUGGGUACAUCACAACAAUGUAGUACAUGCGAGAGGUCUCGGGUUCAAUUCCCGAUUGAGCCC
Non-coding RNA from Kalaharituber pfeilii, 94 nucleotides. The record is from the annotation of a GenBank genome assembly. Lineage: Eukaryota; Fungi; Ascomycota; Pezizomycetes; Pezizales; Pezizaceae.